UUUGUGGUUCAUAUAUAGUAAAUUCAUAUUCAAAAAAGAGAUUAAAGGUAGGAAGUUAUUGAAUGUCUGGUGGUAUACAAAUAGAUAAUGAUUUAAGGAUUGUAAUCCCGAUGAUGAAAGAACUUAGUACUUAUAUUUAGAAAGAAAGAUAGAUUUUCUGCUUGAGAGAAAGAGAUAAGAAAAUUUUGACUUCUGUAAUUUGAUAAGUGUAUUAUGUUUUAUGAGUUAUAUUAAUUGAACCCAUAUAUUGAGCUUAUAAAUGUAUCAUGUACAAGUGAUGUGUGUUAUUAAUAGUAAUAACUGGGAAUAAGAGUUGAUAAGGUCAUAGGAUAUAGCUUGAGAUGACAAUGAAUGUGAAUAAAUGUAACUUGUUGGUGGAAAGUGCAUACAUAAGGACUUUCUAUUACUUGGUGCAUAUUUUGUAAGUUACUUAUUUCAUUGAAUGGAGAAGAAAGUUAUA
This 460-nucleotide long non-coding RNA is filed under the name Jatropha curcas. RNAcentral describes it as "long non-coding RNA (JCUR_LNC002907)". The record is from RNAcentral. Lineage: Eukaryota; Viridiplantae; Streptophyta; Magnoliopsida; Malpighiales; Euphorbiaceae.